This 1151-nucleotide long non-coding RNA is filed under the name Homo sapiens (human). RNAcentral's name for it is "HSALNT0355194". The record is from RNAcentral. Lineage: Eukaryota; Metazoa; Chordata; Mammalia; Primates; Hominidae.
CAGAGGCAGCCGGGAGGGGCUGGGAGAGGCACCAGGCAGGGAUGAUGGGCUCUACAGCCUGCCUGUAGAGAGCUCUAAACUCACAGGACCUUCUAGGGCCCCACCCAGAAGCCCACCAGGGUUCCGUGAGUUCCUGCACCAGCUCCAGGAGAAGUGCGCCGAGGAGCCGGAGCCACUGACAUCCCCAGCACCGCAACAUCAAAGGGGUGUAUUAGAGCACUGCCCAGGGUCUCCGCGGUGUCCCAACUGUUCAUUCCUCCCAGACCUGUGGGGCCAGUCAUCGCACCUCCAGGAUAGUCUUACGAAGAUUUCGCUCCAGCAGACACCUAUUCUGGGGCCCCUGAAGGGUGAUCACUCACAAUUCACCACUGUCAGAAAGGCCAACCACAGGCCCCACGGUGCACAGGUCCCCAGGCUCAAGGCUGCGCUGACCCACAACCCCUCGGGGGAAGGCUCUAGGCCCUGCAGGCAGCGUUGCCCUUUCCGGGUGCGAUUCGCUGACGAGACCCUGCAGGACACAACGCUCCGCUACUGGGAGCGCAGACGCUCAGGAAGAGCCCCCAUCCCUGAGACAGCCCUCCCUGAAGCCCUCAACGCUCUCAGCAUGGUUUCUGGGAUUUCUAUGAUGGGUCCAACAGAGCGUCAUUGUGAACCAGAAGGCCGCCCUGCCAGUGGCGUCCGAGCGGGUGUUUGGGAGUGUCGGAAAACGGCUGGAGAGUUUGCCCAAAGCCCUGUACCCUGGGGCCAAGGAGGAGACCCUGGCCAGCUCCUCGUGUUGGGACUGCGCUGGCCUGUCCACCCAGAAGACACAGGGCUACCUUUCUGAGGACACCUCCAUGAACAGCAGCCUGCCCUUCUGUUCAUGGAAGAAGGCCGCUGCUCAGAGGCCGCGAAGCAGCCUCCGAGCCUUCUUGGACCCGCACAGAAACCUGGAGCAGGAGUCCCUCCUGCCCAACCGGGUGCUGCAGUCGGUCCUGAAGCAAGGCUGCCCUAAGGGGUACCAUCUCCUCCUGGCCUCCGCAACACUGCAGCCAGAUAAGAGGUGAACACUCGCGAACCCAAGGCCAGGGGCACACAUGGGCCAGGCAAUGAGGAGCGUCCUUCCUUGCCCCACAAAUAAAGGCACAUCCCAGGUGGCUGGGACCUGCCAG